Molecule: long non-coding RNA, 258 nt
Filed under: Eucalyptus grandis
Lineage: Eukaryota; Viridiplantae; Streptophyta; Magnoliopsida; Myrtales; Myrtaceae
Description: long non-coding RNA (EGRA_LNC007431)
Source: RNAcentral
GGGUGCUUCUAAAUGGGACUAGUCAGGAUACCUUCAUUCCCUUUUUUUCUUGGCUCAAGCUUUUGUGGCUUGCAUUUCUGAACGGUGAGAUUCUUCGCAGCUCGACCUAGACGAAGAAACAAGAAGAAGAAAAAUUGUUCCGUUUCUCUUCUCGAAGUAAAGAAAAGGUUCCGAAAUUCUUUCCUUUGUCUGCUAGCUGGAAUUAUCGAGAUAUACACAGCAGAGCUUAUCCAACUCCACUCAUUCGCUUCUUUUCCA